CUACGGGCGGCUCCAGUGAGGAAUAUUGCACAAUGGGGGGAACCCUGAUGCAGCAACGCCGCGUGGAGGAUGACGCAUUUCGGUGUGUAGACUCCUUUUAUAUGUCAAGAAAAUGACGGUAGCAUAUGAAUAAGCACCGGCUAACUCCGUGCCAGCAGCCGCGGUAAUACGGAGGGUGCAAGCGUUACUCGGAAUCACUGGGCGUAAAGGACGCGUAGGCGGGUUGGAAAGUCAGGUGUGAAAUCCUACAGCUUAACUGUAGAACUGCACUUGAAACUUCUAAUCUAGAGUAUGGGAGGGGGAGAUGGAAUUAGUGGUGUAGGGGUAAUAUCCGUAGAUAUCACUAGGAAUACCUAAAGCGAAGGCGAUCUCCUGGAACAUUACUGACGCUAAGGCGUGAAAGCGUGGGGAGCAAACAGGAUUAGAUACCCUCGUAGUC
Molecule: ribosomal RNA, 439 nt
Filed under: uncultured bacterium
Lineage: Bacteria
Description: partial 16S ribosomal RNA
Rfam family: Bacterial small subunit ribosomal RNA
Source: RNAcentral